UUUACAUAAACUGCCAUUUGAAUCGUGCGCCCCGCUAUCUGAGAUCUGGAAAUGUCUCCAUCCGAUAGUAGGGCUUAUCCUUAGUGUUGAAUAAUCAAGUUGUUAAUCGCUAAAUCCUGUGAGCGUUUAUGAUUCACACCCAGAAGACAGCAAAUGCCUAAUAAAUAAGCGCCGUACGUGCCUUCAUUCUUGUACUCAGCUCAAUGAAAACCUCCCUCCUGCUGUCUUUUUGUCGAAAGCCAACCUAGAAAAAGCCGCAGGAGGGGUGUUUUCUCAACGAAGUAGAGAAAUGUGACCUGGUUCAUGACUUCACAACAUGGCCUUGACCAUUCGCAUUUAUUCGCAUUCGUGUAAUAUCCUCCAUCCACGGCCAUUUUGCGCAUCCUCUUCACCAAAUACCCAAAGCAAUCAGGAAGGCUAGGCUCAUUGAUUCAUUAGCAACAAGAAGCAACAAGCAACAAGCAGAAUAAUACAGAGAAAGGCAGAAGCAGAAGAAAGAGAAACCACAAAGCAACAACACGAUGAAGUUGCCACUUCUCGCUUGCUUCCAAUGACUGCACAACUACGCUCCCUCCUCGCUGUUCUGAUCGGCCAAAUCCGAAAAUGAUGCCGGCGAAUGGCUAACGGCACAGAAAGAUGAAGGAGGCGGAAAGGAUGAGGUCUAAAACAAGACACAAUUGAUCUCCACCGACCGGACCAAGCGAAACAACGACGGCCGAGGACGAGCGGAGAACGGCGAAACGGGUUCGAUGUCCGUGUGUUCGUCAGCAUAUUUGUGCCUGAGCUCGGCGAUGACGUCAAUGUGUAAUAAUUCCCAAAAUCCUUGGCCCUAUAUUUAUAAGCCCGUUUCAGCGGUUCAGUUCUUGGGGUUGAGUGAAAUGAGCUGGGGAUUGAGAUUGGGUUCUUCGAGCUUAGAUGUUGGCAGCUGCUAUCUCGGGGUUUGCUGUUGGGGGAUAAAGGCAAGAUGCUGUGAAAGGUUAGGAAGUAGACUUUGAGUGCACAGGAAAGAGAGAAUUUAUAACAAGAAGAAAGCAACAAGGAGAUAUAGCUAACUAAUAGAUGAUGAUUGUAUUUAUGUAGUGGCAGUGCAUUUCGACACCAUGAAUCGCCGUCAUCGAUCUGCAG
This 1125-nucleotide small RNA is filed under the name Cryptococcus neoformans H99. RNAcentral's name for it is "Cryptococcus neoformans var. grubii H99 hypothetical RNA". The record is from RNAcentral. Lineage: Eukaryota; Fungi; Basidiomycota; Tremellomycetes; Tremellales; Cryptococcaceae.